RNAcentral lists this ribosomal RNA (392 nucleotides) under Aplanochytrium sp. RNAcentral's name for it is "partial small subunit ribosomal RNA". It matches the Rfam family "Eukaryotic small subunit ribosomal RNA", at positions 582 to 975 of the family's 1831-position model. Lineage: Eukaryota; Bigyra; Thraustochytrida; Thraustochytriidae. The record is from RNAcentral.
AUUCCAGCUCCAAUAGCGUAUAUUGAAGUUGUUGCAGUUAAAAAGCUCGUAGUUGGAUUUCUGGUAGGAGCGACCGUGCCGAACUUGAUUGUUCGUGUAUUGUGUUGUCUUCAGCCAUCCUCGUGGAGAACUUUUCUAACAUUAACUUGUUGGGAUUGGGACCCGCGUCGUUUACUGUGAAAAAAUUAGAGUGUUUAAAGCAGGCAUUAGCUUGAAUACAUUAGCAUGGAAUAAUAAGAUAGGACUUUGGUACUAUUUUGUUGGUUUGCAUACCAAAUUAAUGAUCAACAGGAACAGUUUGAGGAUAUUCGUAUGAACAUGUCAGAGGUGAAAUUCUUGGAUUUUGAUCAGACGAACUACUGCGAAAGCAUUUAUCAAGGAUGUUUUCAUCG